This 873-nucleotide ribosomal RNA is filed under the name uncultured bacterium. Its description in RNAcentral is "bacterial SSU rRNA". It matches the Rfam family "Bacterial small subunit ribosomal RNA", at positions 96 to 953 of the family's 1533-position model. The record is from RNAcentral.
UAGCGCAAGGGUGCGUAACACGUGGGUAAUUUGCCAUGAAGUUAGGAAUAACUCGCUGAAAGGCGAGACAAUACCGGAUGUGACUGUGAUGCGGCAUCGCGAUACAGUUAAAGUUGGGGACCGCAAGGCCUGACGCUUCAUGAUAAGCCCGCGGCCUAUCAGCUAGUUGGUGAGGUAACGGCCCACCAAGGCUAAGACGGGUAGCUGGUCUGAGAGGACGACCAGCCACACUGGAACUGAGACACGGUCCAGACACCUACGGGUGGCAGCAGUCGAGAAUUUUUCUCAAUGGGUGAAAGCUUGAAGGAGCGACGCCGCGUGGGGGAUGAAGGGCUUCGGCUCGUAAACCCCUGUCAUUUGCGAGCAAACCUUUCUGCUGAAUAGGCAGGAAGCUGAUAGUAGCGAAAGAGGAAGGGACGGCUAACUCUGUGCCAGCAGCCGCGGUAAUACAGAGGUCCCAAGCGUUGUUCGGAUUUACUGGGCGUAAAGGGUGCGUAGGCGGCGGGGCAAGUUUGAUGUGAAAUCUCCGAGCUUAACUCGGAAACUGCAUUGAAUACUGCCUUGCUAGAGGGUCGAAGGGGAGACUGGAAUUCUCGGUGUAGCGGUGAAAUGCGUAGAUAUCGAGAGGAACGCCAGUGGCGAAAGCGAGUCUCUGGACGACCCCUGACGCUGAGGCACGAAAGCUAGGGGAGCAAACAGGAUUAGAUACCCUGGUAGUCCUAGCCGUAAACGGUGCACAUUUGCCGUGAAAGGAAUCGACCCCUUUCGUGGCGAAGCUACGCGUUAAAUGUGCCGCCUGGGAAGUACGGUCGCAAGAUUAAACUCAAGAAAUUGACGGGGCCUGCACAGCGGUGGAGUAUGUGGCUUAAUUCG